RNAcentral lists this transfer RNA (16 nucleotides) under Actinidia chinensis (golden kiwifruit). RNAcentral's name for it is "partial transfer RNA-Phe". RNAcentral also lists the same sequence under 33 other names. Lineage: Eukaryota; Viridiplantae; Streptophyta; Magnoliopsida; Ericales; Actinidiaceae. The record is from RNAcentral.
GUCGGGAUAGCUCAGG